Molecule: ribosomal RNA, 217 nt
Filed under: Escherichia coli
Lineage: Bacteria; Pseudomonadati; Pseudomonadota; Gammaproteobacteria; Enterobacterales; Enterobacteriaceae
Description: partial 16S ribosomal RNA
Rfam family: Bacterial small subunit ribosomal RNA
Source: RNAcentral
AAAUUGAAGAGUUUGAUCAUGGCUCAGAUUGAACGCUGGCGGCAGGCCUAACACAUGCAAGUCGAACGGUAACAGGAAGAAGCUUGCUUCUUUGCUGACGAGUGGCGGACGGGUGAGUAAUGUCUGGGAAACUGCCUGAUGGAGGGGGAUAACUACUGGAAACGGUAGCUAAUACCGCAUAACGUCGCAAGACCAAAGAGGGGGACCUUCGGGCCUC